Molecule: long non-coding RNA, 245 nt
Filed under: Homo sapiens (human)
Lineage: Eukaryota; Metazoa; Chordata; Mammalia; Primates; Hominidae
Description: non-protein coding lnc-XBP1-2:1
Source: RNAcentral
UCAGACCCCAAAAGGGACCCGGGAAUGCUGUUGGAGGCAGGAGUGGAAGGCAAGAAUGAUAGCUUCGAGGAAGCAAAAUACCUGCCAGCAACUCCAUGCUGGACCAGAUCAACUCCCGUCUGGAGCAGCUGGAGGAAAACCACCACCUCCACACCCACUUCCAGGAGCUGCUGGAAUCCAACCGGCAGACACGCCUUGAGUUCCAGCAGCAGCUCCGGGAGGCCCCCAGCGAUGUCAGCCUCUAG